AGUGAACGCUGGCGGUAGGCCUAACACAUGCAAGUCGAACGGCAGCACGGUAAGAGCUUGCUCUUACGGGUGGCGAGUGGCGGACGGGUGAGGAAUACAUCGGAAUCUACUUUUUCGUGGGGGAUAACGUAGGGAAACUUACGCUAAUACCGCAUACGACCUACGGGUGAAAGCAGGGGAUCUUCGGACCUUGCGCGAUUGAAUGAGCCGAUGUCGGAUUAGCUAGUUGGCGGGGUAAAGGCCCACCAAGGCGACGAUCCGUAGCUGGUCUGAGAGGAUGAUCAGCCACACUGGACCUGAGACACGGUCCAGACUCCUACGGGAGGCAGCAGUGGGGAAUAUUGGACAAUGGGCGCAAGCCUGAUCCAGCCAUACCGCGUGGGUGAAGAAGGCCUUCGGGUUGUAAAGCCCUUUUGUUGGGAAAGAAAAGCAGCAGGUUAAUACCCCGCUGUUCUGACGGUACCCAAAGAAUAAGCACCGGCUAACUUCGU
This 491-nucleotide ribosomal RNA is filed under the name uncultured bacterium. RNAcentral describes it as "partial 16S ribosomal RNA". It matches the Rfam family "Bacterial small subunit ribosomal RNA", at positions 29 to 506 of the family's 1533-position model. The record is from RNAcentral.